Schistosoma mattheei is the source of this 45-nucleotide non-coding RNA. Lineage: Eukaryota; Metazoa; Platyhelminthes; Trematoda; Strigeidida; Schistosomatidae. The record is from Rfam.
ACCUUGCUGAUGAGUGCUAAAUAGCAUGAAACUCGGGUCCAGGGU